UUAACUAUUAAAUAGUACUCAGACGACAUUAACAUUCAGAGUUUGGUAUUCUCUGGCAGACACGAUCCAGCCGAAGCCAGUGCCCGAGGGCGGCCUGCCAAAGCAACAAUAUAUAAUAUACAAGGGUGGCGAUCUACCCGUAAAGGGCAGGGUACGCUGUAAUGAUCCUUCCGCAGGUUCACCUACGGAAA
Molecule: unclassified non-coding RNA, 191 nt
Filed under: uncultured fungus
Lineage: Eukaryota; Fungi
Description: sequence contains ITS1
Source: RNAcentral